GCAGAGCACUCCACGGGAGGCAGCAGUGGGGAAUAUUGCACAAUGGGCGCAAGCCUGAUGCAGCCAUGCCGCGUGUAUGAAGAAGGCCUUCGGGUUGUAAAGUACUUUCAGCAGUGAGGAAGGUGGGUAUGUUAAUAGCAUAUUCAUUUGACGUUAGCUGCAGAAGAAGCACCGGCUAACUCCGUGCCAGCAGCCGCGGUAAUACGGAGGGUGCGAGCGUUAAUCGGAAUUACUGGGCGUAAAGCGCAUGCAGGUGGUUUGUUAAGUCAGAUGUGAAAGCCCGGGGCUCAACCUCGGAAUUGCAUUUGAAACUGGACAAACUAGAGUACUGUAGAGGGGGUAGAAUUUCAGGUGUAGCGGUGAAAUGCGUAGAGAUCUGAAGGAAUACCGGUGGCGAAGGCGGCCCCCUGGACAGAUACUGACACUCAGAUGCGAAAGCGUGGGGAGCAAACAGGAUUAGAUACCCUGGUAG
Molecule: ribosomal RNA, 472 nt
Filed under: uncultured bacterium
Lineage: Bacteria
Description: bacterial SSU rRNA
Rfam family: Bacterial small subunit ribosomal RNA
Source: RNAcentral